UAGGGAAUCUUCCACAAUGGACGCAAGUCUGAUGGAGCAACGCCGCGUGAGUGAAGAAGGUCUUCGGAUCGUAAAGCUCUGUUGUUGGUGAAGAAGGUUAGAGGCAGUAACUGGUCUUUAUUGACGGU
This 128-nucleotide ribosomal RNA is filed under the name uncultured bacterium. RNAcentral describes it as "partial 16S ribosomal RNA". It matches the Rfam family "Bacterial small subunit ribosomal RNA", at positions 355 to 476 of the family's 1533-position model. The record is from RNAcentral.